RNAcentral lists this ribosomal RNA (834 nucleotides) under Bacillus sp. TSA-fw-19. RNAcentral's name for it is "bacterial SSU rRNA". It matches the Rfam family "Bacterial small subunit ribosomal RNA", at positions 340 to 1165 of the family's 1533-position model. Lineage: Bacteria; Bacillati; Bacillota; Bacilli; Caryophanales; Bacillaceae. The record is from RNAcentral.
UACGGGAGGCAGCAGUAGGGAAUCUUCCGCAAUGGACGAAAGUCUGACGGAGCAACGCCGCGUGAGUGAUGAAGGUUUUCGGAUCGUAAAGCUCUGUUGUUAGGGAAGAACAAGUGCCGUUCAAAUAGGGCGGCACCUUGACGGUACCUAACCAGAAAGCCACGGCUAACUACGUGCCAGCAGCCGCGGUAAUACGUAGGUGGCAAGCGUUGUCCGGAAUUAUUGGGCGUAAAGGGCUCGCAGGCGGUUUCUUAAGUCUGAUGUGAAAGCCCCCGGCUCAACCGGGGAGGGUCAUUGGAAACUGGGGAACUUGAGUGCAGAAGAGGAGAGUGGAAUUCCACGUGUAGCGGUGAAAUGCGUAGAGAUGUGGAGGAACACCAGUGGCGAAGGCGACUCUCUGGUCUGUAACUGACGCUGAGGAGCGAAAGCGUGGGGAGCGAACAGGAUUAGAUACCCUGGUAGUCCACGCCGUAAACGAUGAGUGCUAAGUGUUAGGGGGUUUCCGCCCCUUAGUGCUGCAGCUAACGCAUUAAGCACUCCGCCUGGGGAGUACGGUCGCAAGACUGAAACUCAAAGGAAUUGACGGGGGCCCGCACAAGCGGUGGAGCAUGUGGUUUAAUUCGAAGCAACGCGAAGAACCUUACCAGGUCUUGACAUCCUCUGACAAUCCUAGAGAUAGGACGUCCCCUUCGGGGGCAGAGUGACAGUGGUGCAUGGUUGUCGUCAGCUCGUGUCGUGAGAUGUUGGGUUAAGUCCCGCAACGAGCGCAACCCUUGAUCUUAGUUGCCAGCAUUCAGUUGGGCACUCUAAGGUGACUGCCGGGUGAACAAACCG